This 375-nucleotide unclassified non-coding RNA is filed under the name soil metagenome. Its description in RNAcentral is "partial contains 5.8S ribosomal RNA, internal transcribed spacer 2, and large subunit ribosomal RNA". The stretch from base 1 to 120 matches the Rfam family "5.8S ribosomal RNA", at positions 35 to 154 of the family's 154-position model. The record is from RNAcentral.
GAUGAAGAACGCAGCGAAAUGCGAUAAGUAAUGUGAAUUGCAGAAUUCAGUGAAUCAUCGAAUCUUUGAACGCACAUUGCGCCCGCCAGUAUUCUGGCGGGCAUGCCUGUUCGAGCGUCAUUUCAACCCUCAAGACCCCUUCGGGGGACUUGGUGUUGGGGACCGGCACAGGGGCCUGCCUGCUUGUCUUGCAGCGCCCUCGCCGCCCCCGAAAUGAAUUGGCGGCCUCGUCGCGGCCUCCCCUGCGUAGUACCACAAACCUCGCAACGGGAACGUGACGGCGGCCACUGCCGUAAAACAACCCAAUUUUAUUAGAGUUGACCUCGAAUCAGGUAGGAAUACCCGCUGAACUUAAGCAUAUCAAUAAGCGGAGGA